AAAACCAGGAUCCCUGGUGAUGAAUGAAGCUAUGACCCCUGAUGGAACCAGGUUUUGAUGAACUGAUGGUUUUGAAGAUUAAGACCAAAGCUUUUGUCCUUCUUUCUGUAUGCAAUUUCACGUAUCAGUGAAAUAGAUCCUGGAGAUUGCUGAUGAAAAGAACUGUCAUACAUGGCUACACUUCUCUCCUGUUCCUGCUUCUGCUGGCAACAAAUGUUUCCUUAGAAGCCAUUUUGCCAUUGGGUGAUGCACCCUGCAAAUGAUUUCUGUAUGAAGAAAUUCUGCAAAACUAUUGAAGACCCUGCAGAAAAAAUGCCUACAUUAUAUUCAUCUAUUUGUGAAACACUGCCUCUCCACAUUCAAGAGUAUCUGUGCACCUCCCAGUUUAAUAAAGGAACAAGAAGCCAAACACACUCCAUCUUGCCUGCAGACAUAGCUUGAAAGAGUUGCACAAGAAGAGAGAGAGUAUGAAGUUUGGCUGGGAAUGCCACUUUAAAGGCUUUUGUGACAGAUCUAGUGGUCUUGGUAGAGCCAAGAUUCCUUUGAUCUGACCUGGAGGGGGGAAGAACAAGAGAUAAAUAAAUCAUACAUAGAGACAUGAAAUGUGAGUA
Molecule: long non-coding RNA, 611 nt
Organism: Alligator mississippiensis (American alligator)
Lineage: Eukaryota; Metazoa; Chordata; Crocodylia; Alligatoridae
Exons: 4
Source: RefSeq, a predicted model, not a curated record